CUGCCCUGAACGCGCCUGAUCUCAUCUGAUCUCGGGAGCUAAGCAGGGUCGGGCCUGGUUAGUACUUGGAUGGGAGACUUUCUACCUUUUAUGUGAAACAUGCCUAUAAAGAAGUUCUGAU
RNAcentral lists this ribosomal RNA (121 nucleotides) under Nannospalax galili (Upper Galilee mountains blind mole rat). Lineage: Eukaryota; Metazoa; Chordata; Mammalia; Rodentia; Spalacidae. The record is from RNAcentral.